Aplysia californica (California sea hare) is the source of this 280-nucleotide long non-coding RNA. RefSeq lists it as uncharacterized. The transcript is spliced from 3 exons. The record is from RefSeq and is a predicted model, not a curated record. Lineage: Eukaryota; Metazoa; Mollusca; Gastropoda; Aplysiida; Aplysiidae.
ACAACAACCAGAAGAACCACACUCAGAGUGACCACGCCUCCCCCACGGGUGACCACACCACGACCAGUGACAACAACCAGAAAAACCACACUCAGAGUGACCACGCCUCCCCCAGUGGUGACAACACCACGACAAGAUUCCUGCCCAUCCGGCGAGCAACCCGGAAUAGCGUUCGAAGGGCGACCGUGUACAGAGUAUGUAGCUAUCUACCCUGGCCGCUGCUACAAUCCGGUCGUGAUGACGCGCUGCUGUGUUUCCUGCAAGGCACAUUACAGACCAG